CACCAACCAACUGAGCCACCCAGGUGCCCUGUCAAUUAUCAUUUGUGAUGUGACCAGGGAAGGUAGAUCCCACUUCAGGGGAUUAAUUAUAACUAAUCUCAACCAGUCAUUUUGACUCCUUUUCUCUUUGCCAGUCAUUAGUUUAGGUGUGGGCAUAUGACCCAGCUCUGGCCAACGAGCUGGAAGAGAGGGUCUACUGGAGUGUUUUUAAAAGAUUUUCUUCCCUGAUUAAGAGAGAGAGUUAAUCUAUGUAAAGAGGGCUUUUUUCCCCUCGAUUCUUUUCUUUCCUGUUUGGUAUGCUGUAGAAUGAAAACUUAAUGUCAAGGCUAUGACAGUCAACUUAAAAUCAUGAUGAAAAGCCAGUCCACUGAGAAUGGCAAAGAAGAAGGAAACAAGGCCUGGAUCCUUGAGGACAUUAUUGACUUUUGAGCUAGCCCAGGAACCACCCAUUUUCAGAAUAUCAUGUGUCCCUUCAUUUUUUAGCAACACCUUCCCCUUUCCUUUGAGGAAAAGGAGUCUAUGUGGUGCUGGGGGAACUUGCUGGCUCUCUUGUUGGCUCUGUGUGCCUCUGGUGACUCCAUGUGGUGCUGGUCGAAUUGUCUAAUCACAGUGUCCUGCCUUCUGCCACACGAAUGAGUGGGGCAUAGGAGUCUGCAUUGGACCCAUCCGAAUCCUUGCCUAGAAUAUGAAAAGUGAGGAUGGAGGAAUAGCCUCUCUCCCCUUGGACUGCAAACUAUAAAGAUGUGAUUCCAGAGGUGUUUGAGGGUCAUUUCCCUGUGCAUAAGGUCAGGGAGAGAGAAUCAAAGGGAGUUCUGACAAUACCGUUUGCGUCCCUGGAUACAGGUGUGCCUGAAGCUGUACCCCUGUCCUUUCCAAUGACAUUAGCGAAUAAAUCCCCUCUUUAGCUA
Non-coding RNA from Leptonychotes weddellii (Weddell seal), 908 nucleotides. The record is from RefSeq and is a predicted model, not a curated record. NCBI's taxonomy places the organism in Eukaryota, Metazoa, Chordata, Mammalia, Carnivora, Phocidae.